RNAcentral lists this small nuclear RNA (164 nucleotides) under Chelonoidis abingdonii (Abingdon island giant tortoise). RNAcentral describes it as "U1 spliceosomal RNA (ENSCABG00000009672.1)". It matches the Rfam family "U1 spliceosomal RNA". From Rfam's summary of the family: U1 is a small nuclear RNA (snRNA) component of the spliceosome (involved in pre-mRNA splicing). The record is from Rfam by way of RNAcentral. Lineage: Eukaryota; Metazoa; Chordata; Testudines; Testudinidae.
CUGGUAGCCUGGCAGGGGUGAUACUAUGAUCACGAAGGUGGUUUUCCCAGGGUGAGGCUCAUCCAUUGCACUGUGGAUGUGCUGACCCCUGUGAUUUCCCCAAAUGCAGGAAACUCGACUACAUAAUUUGUGGUAGUGGGGGACUGCCUUUGUGCUCUCCCCUG